Molecule: transfer RNA, 74 nt
Filed under: bacterium
Lineage: Bacteria
Description: tRNA-Gly
Rfam family: tRNA
About the family: Transfer RNA (tRNA) molecules are approximately 80 nucleotides in length. Their secondary structure includes four short double-helical elements and three loops (D, anti-codon, and T loops). Further hydrogen bonds mediate the characteristic L-shaped molecular structure. tRNAs have two regions of fundamental functional importance: the anti-codon, which is responsible for specific mRNA codon recognition, and the 3' end, to which the tRNAs corresponding amino acid is attached (by aminoacyl-tRNA synthetases). tRNAs cope with the degeneracy of the genetic code in two manners: having more than one tRNA (with a specific anti-codon) for a particular amino acid; and 'wobble' base-pairing, i.e. permitting non-standard base-pairing at the 3rd anti-codon position.
Source: RNAcentral
GCGGGUAUAGUUCAAUGGUAGAACCACAGCCUUCCAAGCUGUUGAUGCGAGUCCGAUUCUCGUUACCCGCUCCA